This 1317-nucleotide long non-coding RNA is filed under the name Hordeum vulgare. Its description in RNAcentral is "long non-coding RNA (HVUL_LNC010300)". Lineage: Eukaryota; Viridiplantae; Streptophyta; Magnoliopsida; Poales; Poaceae. The record is from RNAcentral.
UACUGGAUUGAUACCUUGGUUCUCAAACUGAGGGAAAUACUUACUGCUCCUGUGCUGCAUCACCCUUUCCUCUUCAAGGGAAAAACCAACGCAAGCUCAAGAGGCAGCACACGCCUCGACUCAUUCUCGCGGGAAUCUACCCGCAACACACCUUUCAUGUUCCAAGUAGCACACUCAAGUAACUGUGUGGUUCUAACAUCAGAGGGAUUUGAGGUAUCACACUCGAUGGAUUCCAAAUGAUGUAACCGUCAAGGUGACCAGCGAGGAAUCACCCUCAAUGGACCAUGCUUGAUGGGUUGUACGACAGAGUCGUUAUCGGAGGUGGUGAAGGAGCAAUCACCUUCUGAGAACCACCACCGGUCAACUACACUACAGAUCUAACAUUAGGACUACGUAUCGAGGUGUCACCCUCGGUACUCAAUAGUAGCUCUGCAACGUCGUACAACUAAGGGGGUGUGAGUGAUGUGACGGGUCUUGGCUCAUCGAUAAGAUGAUCUAGACUUGAUGAGAAAGUAGGGGCAACUGGACUUAUGGUCAAAGGGGAUAACUGCUCCACCUGUACUAAGUAGUUUAAAGUGCGGUAGAGUAAAGUAGAAGUUCAGAAAAAAAACAGGCUACGCAUCAGAAUAGGAGCUAUCCACAACAGUAGCAAAAUCUAAUGCAAGCACGAGGGAGAAAGAAUAGGCGAUAUAGGAAUGAUCAAGGGGGGUUUGCUUGCCUUGUUGCUCUAUGACAAAGGGCUGGUCGUCACGAGGGUAGUCGUACCCGGCAGCAGCGUCAGUCUCGGGGUCUACCGGAGAGAAGAGGGGUCUACCAGAGAGAAGAGGGAGAAGAAACAAUAAAUAUAAAAGCACAAAUGCAACACGAUGCAUGGCAUGGUAAAAUGCACAGCUAGGUAUGCACUAAUGCAGUAUCACCCGUCAUGGACGGAUCAUGAAAAUAUCUAACAAUAUUUUCCGGGUCUAUGGCUACUACCGGACAGACGAAAAUGAUGAAAAAGUUUCAUGUCCUCUGUGAUAAAGACGCGUGACACAUGAACGGAUAGCUUAUCCGGAUUUGUAUUGUUUUUCUCAUCAACUUUCAUGUACAAAAUAUUUUCAUCCGGAUUACGAAUUAUUUUAUAUUAUUUUUUAUAGUUUUAUUAAUUAUUUAAGAAUUAAUUAGAAUUAAUUAAAUUCAUUAAACAUCUAUGACAUUGGCAGUCAACAGUCUUGUUGACUCAUCAAACUAACCAGUGGGUCCCAUGUGUGAUACUCACAUUUUAAUUUAGUUUAUUUAAUAAUUAAUCAGGUUAAUUUAGGGAAGACCCACCUCUCA